AUGUUCUUUGGGAGGCAGCCUGCUGUAGUGCAAAGACUGAGAGGCUCAGGGUCAGAAUGGGGUCUAGAUUCAAAUUCUGCCUCUAAUAUUUUAAUAAGUUGUACAACCACAGGCAAAACAUUGAACCACUCAAUCUCAGUUUCUUCACCACAGGACCCAUUGAGAUUUAGGUCUGGAAGUUGCCUUGAAGGUCUUCUACUCCAACCUCCUCCUAUUUUCCAUGAGGAAACAGGCCCAAGGAAAGGGACUUGUCCAAGGUCACUAAGGGAGAACUCUAGGUGGAGAAACUCCCUCCACUAAUCCAGCCUGGCAUCUUCUCUGCCACUAAUAGUGUGCCCACAUCACUGAGAAGUGAAGUAACUCAGCUACAGUCCCACAGCCGGUCUGUGCAAGAAGCAAAACUAGAACUCGGUUCUUCUCAUCCGACCUCGAGGCUGGCUCCCUGCCCAUGACACCAUGCUGAAUCCUAGUGAAGCGUCUGCUGCCUCCCGGACUUUGUUUGCACAAGGCAGGUCCUACAUCUUCCAUGACUCAGCCCCUCCAGCGCUCCUCCAGGGAACCUGGCCUCCCCAACCUCUCCAGUCCAGAAGUGGGGGAGUACAAUGGUGGUGCAAGACAAUGGGGUGAGUCAGCACCCCUGGGAUGGUCUCCCAAACCUUGGCACCCACAAGCCACCAUGCUGGUUCAUCAGGAACUCCCCCCGCCCAUCAUGGAGCCUGUCUCCCACAGCCCCCCACACUCCCGGGCCUCCCUCGGGUGGCUCAUCACCACUCUCAUUUCCAUCGUGACCAGCCCAUUUUACAGAUGAGGAAGCUAAGACCUGGGGAGGGAAGUGCUUUGCAUCUCCUCUGAUCUUCCCCAUGACCCUGAGAAGGCAGGCACCUGACAGAAGCGCAAACUGAGAGUCAUCAAGGUGAAGUGACUGGCGGCGGAGCAUGGAUUGGAAUUCCGAGUUUCCCCAGGGUAGACUGAGGGGUCUGGACUGCGCCAUUUAACUCUAGAGAGGCCUUCCUGCCUUCAAUCGUCCUGCGCUGCCUGGACCCCAGCCUCUGUCCCUCCCACAAAAGGGGGUGCGCCUCCAUUUUCUUGGGGUGAAGAGGCCCCCUUGUGGAACAGUCUCUGCUCCCGAUGGAGGAGGAAGGGAGGACAAAGGAAGGAAAACACCAGGGAAGGCGGUUUAUAAAAGAGCAGGCGGCUGGCUCUGGCUCGGGAAGCCCCAUCCCGCUGGCCUGCGCGCCCGCCCGCCCGCCUGCCCUUGUGUGUUACGCUGUAAUUGUCAUAACUGGAGGUGAAAUACACC
This 1300-nucleotide long non-coding RNA is filed under the name Monodelphis domestica (gray short-tailed opossum). Its description in RNAcentral is "lncRNA (ENSMODG00000042265.1)". Lineage: Eukaryota; Metazoa; Chordata; Mammalia; Didelphimorphia; Didelphidae. The record is from RNAcentral.